RNAcentral lists this ribosomal RNA (397 nucleotides) under Theileria annulata. Its description in RNAcentral is "SSU rRNA". It matches the Rfam family "Eukaryotic small subunit ribosomal RNA", at positions 487 to 924 of the family's 1831-position model. Lineage: Eukaryota; Apicomplexa; Aconoidasida; Piroplasmida; Theileriidae. The record is from RNAcentral.
GGGGCUUAAAGUCUUGUAAUUGGAAUGAUGGGAAUUUAAACCUCUUCCAGAGUAUCAAUUGGAGGGCAAGUCUGGUGCCAGCAGCCGCGGUAAUUCCAGCUCCAAUAGCGUAUAUUAAAAUUGUUGCAGUUAAAAAGCUCGUAGUUGAAUUUCUGCUGCAUUGCUUGUGUCCCUCUGGGGUCUGUGCAUGUGGCUUUUUUCGGACGGAGUUUCUUUGUCUGAAUGUUUACUUUGAGAAAAUUAGAGUGCUCAAAGCAGGCUUUCGCCUUGAAUAGUUUAGCAUGGAAUAAUAAAGUAGGACUUUGGUUCUAUUUUGUUGGUUUUAGGUACCAAAGUAAUGGUUAAUAGGAACAGUUGGGGGCAUUCGUAUUUAACUGUCAAAGGUGAAAUUCUUAGA